RNAcentral lists this ribosomal RNA (505 nucleotides) under uncultured soil bacterium. RNAcentral describes it as "bacterial SSU rRNA". It matches the Rfam family "Bacterial small subunit ribosomal RNA", at positions 26 to 528 of the family's 1533-position model. The record is from RNAcentral.
AGAUUGAACGCUGGCGGCAUGCCUUACACAUGCAAGUCGAACGGCAGCACGGGAGCAAUCCUGGUGGCGAGUGGCGAACGGGUGAGUAAUACAUCGGAACGUGCCCAGUUGUGGGGGAUAGCCCGGCGAAAGCCGGAUUAAUACCGCAUACGACCUACGGGUGAAAGCGGGGGAUCGCAAGACCUCGCGCUAUUGGAGCGGCCGAUGUCGGAUUAGCUUGUUGGUGGGGUAAAAGCCCACCAAGGCUACGAUCCGUAGCUGGUCUGAGAGGACGACCAGCCACACUGGGACUGAGACACGGCCCAGACUCCUACGGGAGGCAGCAGUGGGGAAUUUGGACAAUGGGCGCAAGCCUGAUCCAGCCAUGCCGCGUGCGGGAAGAAGGCCUUCGGGUUGUAAACCGCUUUUGUCAGGAAGAAACGGUCCAAGCUAAUACCUCGGCUAAUGACGGUACCUGAAGAAUAAGCACCGGCUAACUACGUAGCCAGCAGCCGCGGUAAUCUGA